GCAUUGGUGGUGCAACGGUUAGCAUGCCCUUCCGGAAACAGUGAGAUCUGGGUUCAAAACCCGGCUCACGCA
Molecule: non-coding RNA, 72 nt
Organism: Parelaphostrongylus tenuis
Lineage: Eukaryota; Metazoa; Nematoda; Chromadorea; Rhabditida; Metastrongylidae
Source: the annotation of a GenBank genome assembly